GUAGUCCACGCCCUAAACGAUGCGAACUGGAUGUUGGGUACAUUACGGUACUCAGUGUCGAAGCUAACGCGUUAAGUUCGCCGCCUGGGGAGUACGGUCGCAAGACUGAAACUCAAAGGAAUUGACGGGGGCCCGCACAAGCGGUGGAGUAUGUGGUUUAAUUCGAUGCAACGCGAAGAACCUUACCUGGCCUUGACAUCUGUCGAAUCCUGCAGAGAUGCGGGAGUGCCGCAAGGAACGACAAGACAGGUGCUGCAUGGCUGUCGUCAGCUCGUGUCGUGAGAUGUUGGGUUAAGUCCCGCAACGAGCGCAACCCUUGUCCCUAGUUGCCAGCACGUAAUGGUGGGAACUCUAGGGAGACUGCCGGUGACAAACCGGA
Molecule: ribosomal RNA, 379 nt
Filed under: uncultured bacterium
Lineage: Bacteria
Description: bacterial SSU rRNA
Rfam family: Bacterial small subunit ribosomal RNA
Source: RNAcentral